RNAcentral lists this ribosomal RNA (466 nucleotides) under uncultured bacterium. RNAcentral describes it as "bacterial SSU rRNA". It matches the Rfam family "Bacterial small subunit ribosomal RNA", at positions 36 to 507 of the family's 1533-position model. The record is from RNAcentral.
GACGAACGACUGGCGGCGUGCUUAACACAUGCAAGUCGAACGGUGACGAGGAGCUUGCUCCUCUGAUCAGUGGCGAACGGGUGAGUAACACGUGAGCAACCUGCCCCAGACUCUGGGAUAACAGUUGGAAACAGCUGCUAAUACCGGAUACGAGACGGAGAGGCAUCUCUACCGUCUGGAAAGUUUUCGGUCUGGGAUGGACUCGCGGCCUAUCAGCUAGUUGGUGAGGUAAUGGCUCACCAAGGCGACGACGGGUAGCCGGCCUGAGAGGGCGACCGGCCACACUGGGACUGAGACACGGCCCAGACUCCUACGGGAGGCAGCAGUGGGGAAUAUUGCACAAUGGGCGAAAGCCUGAUGCAGCGACGCCGCGUGAGGGAUGACGGCCUUCGGGUUGUAAACCUCUUUCAGCAGGGAAGAAGCGAAAGUGACGGUACCUGCAGAAGAAGCACCGGCUAACUACGUG